GGGGACUUCUUCCAGUCGCACAGAGUGCAUUCAGGACAGAUGCAAUUCUGUGCUUUGCCUACCAGAUGUAGCUUUCCUUUCUGAAGACCCAGAAGCCCAGUACAGCUGGGCUAGCAUUGCAGAGAAAGCUGUCUUAAGAGAUCUGGAGGAAACCAGAGCAUGCUUGUAUAACGGUCUCCUGAAGCAGGUGUGCUUGCAACAGAUGCCCUCUUUAUAGAUGAACACCCCCAUGCUGCCCCUCAUCCUCAUCCCAUCCUGAGAAUUCUGACUCCGUAGCAGUCAUGGGAUGAAUGGCAAGAGAACAGGAGCAGCUGCAUGCAUCCACCUUUUAUGGACAAAAGCAAAAGCAUCCUGCUUUCCAGCCCAGCCCAGAAAGCUGUACUUUGAUUGUGGUCCUGUUGUUCACGGACCAUGCACACCUGGCUGAGGAGAGGGCUCCUGAAGUGCUGGCCCAACUGUGAAACUGGGGGAGAGGGAAGAGGAAAAUUCACUUGGAGCUGGUCUGCAGAUGAGUUUGUCCUAUGAAUAGAAACCAAAAGUUGUCAGUAAAUUCAUGUCAGGUGAAGCAAACAUUUUUCUUUGCCUCAGUAGAUAAUAUUUAUUUUCCUUUAGCCAUAUAAGAACAUAAAACUUUAAUACACCCCUAAACAAAGCACUCAUUUGAAGUCAAAGUUCAUUUAGAGAAUGUUGAAAUUUAACAUGUACCAUUCAAGAAUUAAUUAUCUGAGCUAGAACAAUUAAAU
This 743-nucleotide long non-coding RNA is filed under the name Numida meleagris (helmeted guineafowl). RNAcentral describes it as "lncRNA (ENSNMEG00000007691.1)". Lineage: Eukaryota; Metazoa; Chordata; Aves; Galliformes; Numididae. The record is from RNAcentral.